CGGGGUGCAGCAGGCGCGAAAACUCUACAAUGCAGGCAACUGCGAUAGGGGAACAUCGAGUGAUCCUCAUAUUGGGGGUCUGUCCACUCGCCUAAAAAGCGGGUGUUAGCAAGGGCCGGGCAAGACCGGUGCCAGCCGCCGCGGUAAUACCGGCGGCUCGAGUGGUGGCCGAUAUUAUUGAGUCUAAAGGGUCCGUAGCCGGCUUUGCAAGUCUCUCGGGAAAUCCAGCGGCUUAACCGUUGGUCGUCCGGGGGGUACUACAUUGCUUGGGACUGGGAGAGGUAGGAGGUACUCAGGGGGUAGGAGUGAAAUCCUGUAAUCCUUUGGGGACCACCGGUGGCGAAGGCGUCCUACCAGAACAGGUCCGACGGUGAGGGACGAAAGCUAGGGGCACGAACCGGAUUAGAUACCCGGGUAGUCCUAGCCGUAAACGAUGCUCGCUAGGUGUCACAACAGUCGUGAACUGUUGUGGUGCCGUAGGGAAGCCGUGAAGCGAGCCACUUGGGAAGUACGACCGCAAGGUUGAAACUUAAAGGAAUUGGCGGGGGAGCACAAGGGCGAAUU
Molecule: ribosomal RNA, 564 nt
Filed under: uncultured archaeon
Lineage: Archaea
Description: bacterial SSU rRNA
Rfam family: Archaeal small subunit ribosomal RNA
Source: RNAcentral